UCGGUGUCACCGCGGUGGAGUCAUCCUCACUGAUGACUAGUGUUUUGGCUCUUGCAUUGGCUGCCGUGAGCGAAUCGGAAUGCCGCUGAAACGUUUUUACUGGGUCUAGCCUGAGUAGUUUGAGACUUUCUGGGGCCCUAACGCUGAUUCAGAGAAACAAUUGUUCGUGAAUGAACAAUGCCUGCCCCCCACGACUCCUGUAGCACCAGUAUCUUCGCCAUCUGCAAUAGCGGCUGAUUGUCCGUUGGGUCAGGGAAACAGUUAUUUCAUCGAAGGGUACUGUUCGUCGGUAUGUAAGAACUUCUGGCACGAGAAAGUUGAUCACAUUUACGGCUGCCUUCACACGGCGAGCAUGACAGCUUGCUUAAGUCUCCUUCACGCACGACACUGUGCUAAGCGUUGCAGUCUAUUGUGCCGCUGAGGCGAUGCCACAGUACGCCGUUACAGUCCUCGGCAAUAUUGGGUGACAUGAACAGCACACCUUCGAGGCUUUCACAGGGCGUCGAACGACUUAGACAUGAUGGACACAAGUUACGCUUACAGUGAACCAAUCACUUUCCACCAGUAGCCUACCACAGAGUUGGAAGAUGUGGAAGGUCAUCCCAGUGCCCAAAAAUGUGCCCCCGUCACAUCCGUGACUGCGUCUUGCGGCACCUCCUUACUCGGUGACAUGGACACCACUCCAGGGAGCUGUUGCCGUCAACGAAAAGACUGACUGAAUGGCUUCUAAGUGCAGCAUUUGUCCAGAAGAGGCUUGUAAUUUUCAUAAUAACGAUCCGUUGCCCUCUUUUCGGAGAGCACCGUGACCCCUGACUCUCAGGCGUCAGGUCAUUUCCCCCCACGAGUUCAUAACUAUGCUCUAGAAUGUUGCCCCAUAAGGUGGUGCUAUCACUUAUAAUCUGGCGCUCAUUCGUCUUCAAGACUGCCGGGAUACAUACGGACGUGAUUACGAAUACGCAAAUGCUCUGUCAGUCGCAUUGACGAAUAAGGAAUGAAUACACCACCUACUCGAAUAAAAGAUUUGCGUCUAUGCUAGGCUGACCUUUGAGAAUUGAAAGACUUGUUCUUGAUUACACCAAAAGCUACAAAAAAAUGUUUGUGACAUGAACAAAGCAUUGUGUCUCUUCUCUUUCAAAUAAUUUAAAUGUUAGCAACGAAAUGUUUUGCAUGACAGAUAAUAAAUUCGCAUUCUUUUUUUGCACAUUAUACCAAUAUCUAUAUCGACAACACUUCAUAUGUUGUCACUUUUCUCUUUUCCUUUUUUUCCAUUCACUUUCAUGUGGUGUGUUCGAAAUUUCGCAAAUGGCACGUUAGUGAGGUCACUUGCGUUAUCUUAACACCUUCCCAUACAGGUGCUCUACACUUCACCGCCUUUCUACAUCAUGACUAGGUGUCUGUUCUAAAUUUUUGCUUAUGUUUGAUCCCUACCAGUGGAAAUUUUAUCAGACAAUCGACUACAUGGUGAAUUGUCUCUUGAAAAUGAGGUGGAUGAGAGCUGCAUGAUGCACUGCGUUGCAAUGCGUGCUAUCCAAAACCAAUAAAUUUUUGUUUACAUGUGCAAAAA
Rhipicephalus microplus (southern cattle tick) is the source of this 1564-nucleotide long non-coding RNA. RefSeq lists it as uncharacterized. The record is from RefSeq and is a predicted model, not a curated record. Lineage: Eukaryota; Metazoa; Arthropoda; Arachnida; Ixodida; Ixodidae.